Molecule: ribosomal RNA, 301 nt
Filed under: uncultured bacterium
Lineage: Bacteria
Description: partial 16S ribosomal RNA
Rfam family: Bacterial small subunit ribosomal RNA
Source: RNAcentral
CAGCCGCCACGGUAAAACGAAGGGGGCUAGCGUUGCUCGGAAUCACUGGGCGUAAAGGGUGCGUAGGCGGGUCUUUAAGUCAGGGGUGAAAUCCUGGAGCUCAACUCCAGAACUGCCUUUGAUACUGAAGAUCUUGAGUUCGGGAGAGGUGAGUGGAACUGCGAGUGUAGAGGUGAAAUUCGUAGAUAUUCGCAAGAACACCAGUGGCGAAGGCGGCUCACUGGCCCGAUACUGACGCUGAGGCACGAAAGCGUGGGGAGCAAACAGGAUUAGAGACCCCUGUAGUCCCUGUCUCUUAUAC